UUCCCUGAGGGGUGCGCUUGAGAACACAGGCGCAUUUGGCUUUUCAUUAGGCUAAUCUAUGUGCACUUAUGUUCUGUCAUCCCUUUGGGAUUUGUUCUGUGUUUUUUAUAAUAUAGUAGUCGAACUAAUUUGCAUGCAUCUUGAUUAACCUCCUGAAUAUUUGUUAUUUCUAUUUGUACUUUUACUCGCUGAAAUUUUAACUCAGGUCUUUUAUAUCAGGGGAGGAGUUAGAAGCCCGAAUCCCGAAUGUGGAUUUUAACCGAUUUAGUAGCUUUUGCUCAAUCAAUAUAUUUGUGUUAAAAAAAUUCAUUAGAUAUGUAUAAAUAUUAAAUUUAAAAUUCGAGUUACUAGCACUUGAAGUCAUUGUGAACCCAAAAAAUUGAAAUUCAUUAUUUAUUUAAAUGAAUUGAAUUUAAUGGUUGUUUUCUGGGAAUUCCUCUGUAAUGCAAGUUUUGUUAUAUGCUUUACAAGAAGAACUCCAAUCAGAUGUCGUACAUGCGAGAGCAAGCUUCCGCAAGCCUUUCUUUUUUAAACUACUCCUAAUUGCUGAAGCCACAAGGUAUAUAUAUAUCAUGAUGUUAUGAGUCUUGGGGACGCUGAGAAAUUUAUUGACUGUUCUUUUGUUCAAGUAGUUGCUAUGGUAUACGGGUAAAAUCGGGCCUAAUGAGCAUCUCGAUUUUCCGGUGAGGCAAACAGAACAGGGGCAUGACUGUAAAGAAUCGGAAUCAGAGACAGGAGCCCCUCGUAUCAGAGCUCGAGCAAAACACCUGCCCUCGGAGAUAUCAAGACCACGUCCUCCGGGUCCGGUUCGAGUUUCAAGACUUCGGAGAGCAUUACCAAACCACCGCACACGGCUAACAAAGGGCCGUGAUAUCCGUGCCCAACCGGAUAUCACGGCGUGAAUCUCGACCCGUGUCGGCAGAAAAUCAGUGACUAGAAAAAAGGAAGAUUUUUACCUUUCUUAGACUUGUACUUAGGGUAAAACUCCCCUACUAUAUAAAGGGGAAACUAAUUAUUCAUUAGACACACUGUAACACGCAUACCAAGGCAAUA
Nicotiana tabacum (common tobacco) is the source of this 1053-nucleotide long non-coding RNA. RefSeq lists it as uncharacterized. The record is from RefSeq and is a predicted model, not a curated record. Lineage: Eukaryota; Viridiplantae; Streptophyta; Magnoliopsida; Solanales; Solanaceae.